AUUUGUCAUAGGUGUAAAAACAAUCACAACCAAAGCUUAAAGCUGUUGGGAUGAGCAGCUGCCUGGGAAUCACGCUCCUUCCUGCUCUUUCCAAAAAGCCAGGUGCCGCCGGCCAGCAUCCCGCUCCCUUUGACCCGCAGUCUGUGCGGGAAGUAGGCCCGGAGUGGUGCCAGCAGGAGGUGGCCUUAGAAAGGCGGAGACCCAAGGAGCAGAGUGAGUCGGCGUCCAGCUCCACCUGAAAGCGCCAUCUUGUCGCCACUUCCCUCAGGAGCAGCAUGCCCAGCCUCUUGCAUAGGAAGAAGUGGUAAGCUAAGGAGAGAAAUGCAGGGUUCCUAGUACACCAAUUUUCCAACUUUUUCAUCUUGGCCCUGCUUUAAAAUGAUGCAUCUACUGUCUUCAUGCCUCAGCACAGCAGAGGGUCACCUGAAUGUGGAAAAGUUGAGUUGGAGCAAAACUGGCACGGCCAUACUGGAUGGACCUCAGCAUGACCAGGACACAUUUCAGCUCAAAUCCCCUGUGCCAAGAACACAUUCUGCCAAGGACCACCACCUCUUCCCACAACUGUGAGUGGAUUUAUGUCAUCACAGGAGGUGCAAAAACGUGUGGUGAGGUAAAUGAAUUGGGAUGUCCUUGGCUGCCUGAGCAAGAGGGCAACUUUCCUGCCUUUAGAAUAGAGAAAACACAGCAGGAUAAUUAAGAGGAUGAGACUUUGGUUCCAACAGACAGUGGCUUCUCCUUCCCUAAAUUGCCCUUAUUUUGUAGUAAGUUAUAAUAUGUUUAUUUUCUACCACCUUAUUACUUCACUACGUGAACCAAAAAUAAAAUCCUAAAGCCAAC
This is a long non-coding RNA of Homo sapiens (human), 837 nucleotides long. Ensembl annotates it as long intergenic non-protein coding RNA 1501. Lineage: Eukaryota; Metazoa; Chordata; Mammalia; Primates; Hominidae. The record is from Ensembl.